UUCUAUAUAUAUAUAUAGAGAGAGAGAGAGAGUUGAGCUAAAAUACUAUCGAUAGCAAACGGGCUCCGUUGCCACCCAUUUGUUUUCGAUGAUGGAGUAUCCAAAUCGACAAUCGGCACCGUUGAACAUGAUCUAUACAACUUGAAAUGUUUAGAAAUCAAAUUUUAAAUCUUUUCAACAUCAUUUGCCUAAUGAUCAAAGGGUUUCAAAAUUUGUAAUUUUAAUAGUCGAUAUGAGGCGUUUUCUUGUUUAACGGCAUAAAGAUAUCCAAAUCAAUUGAAUUUUUGUUAGAAAAUUCUUUAAACUAUUUAAAAUAAGAUCUAUACUCUUGAUCUUGAUUACAAGACUCCUAUAAUCAUUUUUUAAAGAAUAUUCAUUUUCAGCCGUUCAUUUUUGUGUCCACUCGAUGUAUAAGAGAACAAUGUCGAAAAUAUAUGAAAUUUGAUUUCUAAACACUUCAAGUGGUAUAGAUCAUGUUCAACGGUGCCGAUCGUCGAUUUGGAUGCUCCAUCAUCGAAAACAAAUGGGUGGCAACGGAGCCUGUUCGCUAUCGAUAGUAUUCUAGCUCAACUCUCUCUCUAUCUCUAUAUAUAGAGAGAGAGAGAGAGAGUUGGACUGGGGAGAGAGAGAGUUGGAUUGGGCUACUAUUAGUAGCAAAAUCCCAUUGUUGCUACUAAUUUUUUAGCCUUUGGAUCAACUCUUUUCAUUAUUUCUAACCAUUGGAUUAAAUACUAUAACCCAGUGGAGACCACUCAACCCUAGGUGGAGCACUCAACUCUAACCGACUGAUAUCAUCCUGACCCUAUAAUUUUUCAUUCAAGGGUUAAAAACUUGAUAGCCAAAAAAGCGUUUUACUAUUAAUAGUAUUCCAGCCUAAUUCUAUAUAUAUAUACUAGUUGAAUAUACGUGCAAAUGCACGUAAUAAUUAUUAUAAUUUAUUUCAAAUCAAUAUAAAUUUGUAUAUUA
Molecule: long non-coding RNA, 966 nt
Filed under: Ananas comosus (pineapple)
Lineage: Eukaryota; Viridiplantae; Streptophyta; Magnoliopsida; Poales; Bromeliaceae
Description: long non-coding RNA (ACOM_LNC041056)
Source: RNAcentral